UUGAUUAUUACAAUUUUAUUCGCCAGGGAACUACGAGCGUCAGCUUAAAACCCAAAGGACUUGGCGGUGCCCUACACCUCCUAGAGGAGCCUGUUCUAUAAUCGAUGAUCCACGAUACACCUCACCGUUUCUUGCCAAAACCGCCUAUAUACCGCCGUCUCCAACUUACCCUAUGAAGGAUUUACAGUAAGUUCAAAGAUCACUCAUCAGAACGUCAGGUCAAGGUGUAGCGAAUGAAACGGGAAGAAAUGGGCUACAUUUUCUAUUUUAGAUCACACGGACAGUCAGUAUGAAACCUGAUUAUGAAGGAGGAUUUAGCAGUAAAAAGAAAUCAGCAAGUUCUUUUUAAGUCGGACCUAGGGCGCGUACACACC
This 374-nucleotide ribosomal RNA is filed under the name Oreolalax major (common lazy toad). Its description in RNAcentral is "partial small subunit ribosomal RNA". It matches the Rfam family "Bacterial small subunit ribosomal RNA", at positions 845 to 1391 of the family's 1533-position model. The record is from RNAcentral. Lineage: Eukaryota; Metazoa; Chordata; Amphibia; Anura; Megophryidae.